This 818-nucleotide unclassified non-coding RNA is filed under the name Hevea brasiliensis (rubber tree). Lineage: Eukaryota; Viridiplantae; Streptophyta; Magnoliopsida; Malpighiales; Euphorbiaceae. The record is from RNAcentral.
AAAGUUACAAAAAAUCAACAUCCCAACCUCCACACUCCUUCUCUCCCCUUCUGCCACCUCACUUCUCUGCCCCAUUAAACUCCGCGUUUUUGCCUCCAUCAUCGCUUUGUAUUUGCUCAACUCUGUAUCUUUCUUUCUGCACCUCACUUUCUUUGAAACUUUCCACUUUGACAAAUCCACACGCAAUUGGUGAAAUUCUUGUAUCUCGUCACUUUCCUGGAAAUUUCCUUCUUCCUCGUCCGACCUCCUCUUAUUUAACUUACCCUUUCUCACCCUCUUCUCUCUCUCAUAGAUUACAGCCCAUUUCCUGAUCUUAGAUAAAAUUUCUGUUAUUUUCUGGGAUACCCAGUUCGUGUUUUAUUGUUUUUAUUUUUUUUAAUCGGCUUGUGAAGGGAUUGGAGUUGAAGAUGGAGAAUAACCAGCAAUCAUUUUGGCAAUUCAGUGAUCAGUUGAGGGUACAUACUUCAAACUUUGCAAAUCUUUCACUCAACGACUCAAUAUGGAGCAAUUCUUAUGGGGCAAAGAGGCCAAAUGAGAGGAGGAAUUUUGAUACAAGAGUUGGAGGUGAAUUGAAUUCUGUUAUCAAUUCUAAGUCAAAAGAGUCUGAUUUGAACAAUGGUUUCAAUGAUGGGUGGAAGAUAGGAGCUAGUGUUGGUGCUACUAAGGAUUUGAAUGGGUGGAAGAUAGGAGCUAGCGGUGCUGUUACUGCGGAUUUGAAUGGUUUCAAUGAUGGGUGGAAGAUAGGAGCUAGUGUUGGUGCUACUAAGGAUUUGAAUGGGUGGAAGAUAGGAGCUAGCGGUGCUGUUACUGCGGAUUUG